This 432-nucleotide ribosomal RNA is filed under the name uncultured Planococcus sp. Its description in RNAcentral is "bacterial SSU rRNA". It matches the Rfam family "Bacterial small subunit ribosomal RNA", at positions 959 to 1388 of the family's 1533-position model. Lineage: Bacteria; Bacillati; Bacillota; Bacilli; Caryophanales; Caryophanaceae. The record is from RNAcentral.
CCUCCACGACUCAGGUCUUGACAUCUGUCGCAAAGCUUAAGAGAUUAAGUGGAGGUUAGCGGCAAGACAGGUGGUGCAUGGUUGUCGUCAGCUCGUGUCGUGAGAUGUUGGGUUAAGUCCCGCAACGAGCGCAACCCUUGAUCUUAGUUGCCAGCAUUCAGGUUGGGCACUCUAAGGUGACUGCCGGUGACAAACCGGAGGAAGGUGGGGAUGACGUACAAAUCAUCAUCGCCCCUUAUCGACCGUGGGCUACACACGUGCUAACAAUGGACGGUAACGAAAGGGCAGACCCAACCCGCGGAGGGGGACGACCAACUCCAACGAAACGUUCUCAGUUCGGAUUGCAGGCUGCAACUCGCCUGCAUGAAGCCGGAAUCGCUAGUAAUCGUGGAUCAGCAUGCCACGGUGAAUACGUUCCCGGGCCUUGUACAC